This is a long non-coding RNA of Oreochromis aureus, 8671 nucleotides long. Lineage: Eukaryota; Metazoa; Chordata; Actinopteri; Cichliformes; Cichlidae. The record is from Ensembl.
AUUAAAAUCUCAGCUAGUCCUUCAAAUCUUCUUCAUCUGAGAGCUUCCAGCUCCUCAUCAGAUCCAUGUGACACAGCAGACCUGCAGCGGGAGCACGCCUCUUUAUUUUCCAGGCCGCUGACGCUCCCUGAGUCACUGAGGAUGAGGAAGGAGAGGAAGAGCGGUGCAGGGACAGACGGGCUCGAGGCACAUCGACAGCUCUGCAGCUCCACGUUUGUUCCUGAACAUGUUCACUCUGCUGGUCUCCUGUCACGUUUGGUUCCUGCUCUCAGGUCUGAUCGGCUGCACGGAAAACUCCACAGCGAUCUGGUUUUCAGUCCCUGAGAAUCACCACGUCUGUCUGCCCUGCGGCAGCUCUGGCAGCUCCGACGUGAUCUGGACUCUGCAGGAUCAGGAGGUCCUGGUGACCCGACGAGGCGGCUACAAGACCAACAAGGACCGCCAGCGCUACCUCCUCAUGGUUAAUGGCAGCCUCUGCAUCCUGCAUCUGGAGGAGUCGGAUCAUGGAGGAUACCGCUGUAACCAGCAGCUGGUGGCUGAGCUGCAGGUGCUGACAGGUCGGGACUACACGGUGUCCGCAGGCCGGACGCUGCUGCUCCCCUGCAGCGGCUCCUCCAAACCCAAACAGAGGUGGUUCCAGCAGAGGGAGGGCGAGAGGCGGGAGGCCGUCCUCACCAAGUACAGAAACGGUACGGUGAAACCAGAGAGGGGCGGCGGCCGGCUGAGCUUCACCAAUGACGCCCUGCAGAUCCAGGACCUGCAGCCAGAGGACGCUGGAGAGUACGUCUGCAACGGGGUGCUGCAGGCCAGAGUCACGGUCCUCACAGCACACGCAGAGACGAGCAGCCAGCCUCCGUCCACCAGCACAACUCCAUCACCUGCAGUCGUGACAGCAGAAGUGGAAGAAAUAAAGAAGAAGAGCAACACGAGACCUGAGAACGUUCUGCUGCUGGUUGCUGUCGUCAGUGUGGGCUUGAUGAUCAUCUUCUUAGCUGCUGUCUGUGUGUUGCUGACCAGCAUGAAGUGCAGGAGGAAGAAACGCAGAGCUGCAGGUGAACGUUUGUGUUUCGUUUCAUUUUAACUGGAAACGUUUGGAUUUAAGUUCCUGGGUUUAAAUAAUCGGCCAACACAGCUCAGGGUGUGUGCAGGUGGAUGCUGUUAGAAGUAUUCCUGCCUGAGACUAUGACACUCUGCGCCACCUUCUGGCACAGCCUGGUACUACACAGAGUGCGGCUGUUUCCUCUCAUUUAGUUUGAGUGAAUUCAGUGAAAGAGUAAAUGAUUCUAAAUGUUGUGAUAAAAAAAGAAGAAACUAUGAUUUUGGGGACAUGAGAAAGUUUUUAUCAUCAAAGGUUUUUUUAAUGAAUUCAUUCAUUUAUUUAUGUUGAAUAUUUGAUUAAAAAUAUUUAUAUUUGAAAUCUUCAGAUUAUUCACCUUCACUGCUUCACAGUUUUUCAUACUGAACUUUUUUCAUGUAUCAUUAUCUGUAUUUUUAAUUAUUAUUUAUUAUUCAGUGAAAAGUCGACAUGUUUAUUAUAUUUAAUGCAGUUUGAAGCGUGUUGGCUGAUUCAUUUAUGUUUAAAAGGAUUUUAUUGAUGAGAGCUGACUGAUUCUUUUUUGCAGCUUCAGAUAAACAAAGCUGUGUUUGUCUUUAAAACAUGAAUCAGCACAUGUAAAAAUAUGGAUGUUGCUAUGAUAAUCCAAAAGGAUCCAGUAUUAGACUCAGCAUGUUUUCUGAAGAUCCUGUGCUCUUCAUCUCUUCAUCACCACCUCUGCGUGUAGCAGCACCGACACGUGACGACACGGAGCUGCAGCCGUGGACGACGUCCAGCGCACCGACAGGUAACCUCACCAGGUGUUCGAUGUCCUCACAUCAGUCUAUGAAGGAUUAAAAAGGUGUGUCUGUCUGCAGAGGGUGAGGACUUAGAGACCCCGCCCCUCUGUGGGGAGACGAUCCACUACGCCUCUCUGGGCCGACAGAACUGGAGGGAGAGACCCAGCAGGAGUCCGCCGGAGCAGAGCCACCACAGCGUCAUCUACUCCUCCGUCAUCAGCAGACCUGCAGCGAGAGCUGAGCACAAACUCUGAAAGCUAAAGUCUGAAUGUACAGUCGUGUGACGGGAAGCUUUAAAAUCACAUCCCUGUGUGAAAGUGCAGCUUAGUUUCACUUUGGCCAAAAUACACCUGUAACACAAGCUGUUAAACUCCUGUCAGUCAGUUUGGUUUUCAUGUUUCACUUUCACUGUCUGCUUCAGGCAGCAGAGCUGGUUUCACAGAGACUUUACAUGUUACACCGAGGAGUCGUUUACACAUGUGGAGUGUCACAUCUGGACAGGCUGCCGUCUUUAUAAACAGAGGUCAGGACAGAUCGUGGUGUCAGAAUCAGUUUAUUAGUAAAAGACAAGCAAAGUGUGGAAUCUGUUCAUGGAAGCAGAGGAUGUCACACAGACUCAGAGCAGCACAGCAGACAGAUGUUUAAACACAGCAAGAAAACAAACUCACAGACAUGAAGAUUAAAAACUGACCCGAGGAAACUAUUCACACAUUUAUGGGUAAAUAUAGAUUUUCUUUAGUUCAGUAAUUGUUUUUUGAAAGUCUCCCUGCUGUGGCAGCAUUUACAUUUAUGGCUGUUACUUUAUUAUUAACAGGAAUGUUUUACAAACAUUUUAUUUUCAUUGCAACUUUCUGGAUAUUUAACAUUUAAAGGUUCUUAAACUCUCUGUUUUUCUGCUCACUGAAAAAUAAAUCUUCACUGUUUACACAAAAAACACAAAAAAAUAAACUAAAAUCUAGAUUUUGAAAUCUACUAAUCAAACAUUUUCACAGUUUUAUUAAUUUAAAAAAAUCAUUUACGCUCAUUUAAAGUGCUUCUAUCUGUGGUGAUGUGAUGCCUUUGAGUUCUUGCACGUGUUCACUGUUGAGUACAGGACCUUCUCUUCAGCCAAUCCGGUUCCUCUCCUGGUGGUGGGGCGGGGCUUGUCUGGAUGCUUCAGGCUGGAAUAAUGCAAAGACUCUUCCUGCAGAGAUACAAAGAGUAAAAAAUCUGAUUAAACUGCAGGUUUGCUGCCAAACUAACAUGAUGCUGUGAGGUCACUGCAUUUGGUUUCCCUGCACUUCGUCGUGCUCAGCACAGACCUGUGAAUCCUCUUCAGUUCAGCCUGUGCUGAAUAAAAAAGCUGCCAAAUAUUUAUGUACAUGUUUCAGUGACAUCACCUUUUCCUAUUUUACUGGCAAAACAUAAAGAAAUGAGGGUUGGCUCAAGACUUUUGCACAGUGCUGCGUGUGGAGCUUGUUUUUAGACUGCAGUAAUAAAACAGAAUAAAUGUUUGAAACUCACAGACUGAGAGAUUCACUCAUUUUAAUUAUUUGCUCGUAAAGUAGGAAACAUGAUUUUUAAAGACUGUUCGUGACCUUCCACUGACCUCUGUGACCCGGUGAUCGGCGUCCCGUCUCCGUGGGUUACAGCAGGAGCAAACAGGUUUACCUGCAGAAGAAACGAGACGUGGGACAGGUGAGGAAGACGAAGCUGACUCAGAGCGAGCGAUGUGACCGUGAGGACGUCAGAACAUGUGAUUGGCCCUGAUGUACGCCUACAUCAGAGCUCAGCACAGGCAGCAGCAUAAUUAACUCAUUAUUGAAUCAAUGAAGGGAUUUUAUCCUGUUCCACUUGUGUCACACAUGACCAGCUCCUGUAUUUUGAUUGGCUCCGGUUUAUCAAAUCGAACCAAGUGACUCCCUACUGACACCUACAGGUGACCCGCAGAGGUGACAGAGUUACAUGCGGGACUUCAUCCUCCAGCAUGACCCCCACCGUCAGCCUGUACUGUGCCAAAAUAAGACUCAACACAAGGGGGCGCUGUAGCUGCCUCCACAGCAAACAAUGACUUUUUGUCAUGAUAACGGAGAUAGAGAUAACUCUUUAUUACUAUGACAAUACAACAACUCAUGAUGAUGAGUUUCAGUGUAUACCCCCUCCAUCCUAAAACGAAAAAGGUGUGUUUGCCUUCAGUGAAACUGUAUGUUAAGCCCCGCCCCCGGCUGUGUGUAAGUGAAAGCGAAAGUUUGGGGAGCUGUCCGAGGGGCAGACGUCGAGCUUCUCUUCCGUCUCUGCUCGUUUUUCAGCUCGGUUCCGACCUUUGUGUCCUCAGAGGGGGGCAGAUAUUUGUCCUGUGAAGCCGGAGGACCCCGCCUGCUGUCCCGCCGUCCUCUCAGCAGCAGCAUGCCGGACGUCAGGCUGUGCCUGGAGGCCGUCUCUGCGCUCCUGGGCUGCAGAGCCGAAGCGACCACCGGAAGCUCCCAGUUCACCCCGCAGGAUCUAGUCAACGUCGUGGCCCUCAAAGAGUUUUACAAGCAGGAGGGCUUUAAAGAGCUGGAGUACCCCAGCUUGGGGACGCUGUCUCUGCACGAGUUAGACGAAGCCGACAUGUACAGCUCCCCCCCGGCCCUGGAGGCGCCUCCGGAGAGAUCCCAGCUCACUGUGGAAAUCAACACGGAGAACUUCUUCCAUCCUCAGUACGACUACGACUUCACCAACGUCAAGGAUGGAGAUAAGAAGUUCACGCGUGGUAACGAGCAGUACAUCCGCCCCUGCGGGUGGAACCGCGUUGCCCUGCGGGUCGUGCAGAAGUACAGCGACGGGGACAAGUGGCUGGGGACGGGGCGGGACGCCUGGCCCGUUUCCUACCAGGGGAAAAACAUGGACGGCUCCCUCAUCCUGACCCAUGGCGGCAAGCCCGACGACCAGCCACAGUUUCUGGACGCCGCCGCGGCGUCUUUGUUAACGGAGGGGACGAAGGGCCGGGGGGUGUACUCCACACCGGACAUCAGGAUCGCAGAGAAGUACUGCAAGAAGUUCAAGUCCGGAGUGGACGGGAAGACGUACCAGGUGGUCCUCCAGAACCGCAUAAACCCGGAAAAAAGGAAGUCGUGCCAGAGGCAAGGCGUCUGGGUUGUGUACAUCCCCGAGGACAGCAGCGACGUGAGGGUGAGGGCCCUCGUGCAGGAGUCCAUCCGCCCGUACGGGCUGCUGCUGAAGCAGGUGUGAUGCAGCUGUAACGACCUGCCGUCACUUCAGCUUCACGAUUUUCACAUUGUUAACAAAAAACUGAGAACAUGCUUCAAGUUCCCACGCGUGGGACUAAUAAAGGUAUCUUAUCUUAUCUUAUGCUUACUCCGGGCUCGUGGGAGGACGAGCUCCUGAAAGCUCUUUAUUGGGAGGGUGUGGGAACAAUAAGCCAGAGGUCACAGUAUCGUCUCUUUAUCCUCACAGUUUAAUAAAAAUACGACUGUCUGAUCAAACCUCUCUGAUCCGCGCUGCCUUUGAGUCUCCUCACAGCUCCGAAAAUUCCACCAAUCACAACGUUAGAUCCAAACCACCAAUAAAUAAUCCAUCAUAUCAAACACAGGAGGCGGGAAACGUGCAGCUAGGUUAGCGGCGUCCUGCCUCACGCUGGGAUCCUUUCGCUCGGUGUCAGGGUUGGAGAUAGUGAGGCCGGGUCAGAGGGGCAGACACCUGUCAGUCACAGGUGAGCGCACACGCCGGCUUUAAGAUUUUACUAAUUAAACUUCAUGUUGUUAUUUCAAUAAGACUUGAGACUAAUGAGCUCAGAAUAAAUUGCUUGCUGCGGUCUAAGAUACGAUAGAUCCUUUUGUCACUGUUACCAGUUUACGACACCAACUGUCUGCCAUCUAUAAUCCAGUUUUGAGUUCCCUCCCCAGACGCCUUAACGCCCACUCACAUCCUGGGCCAUCUGACCUCAGGAAAUCACAUGAUAGGGUGGGGCCAGAUUUCACAAUGAGCUCACCCGAAACCCUGGCUGAUUGUGACCCACACCCGCUUUCACACCUUAGCUCAGGUGAUUAGAGGAUCACCAGGGGGUCCUUUGUCCCUCUUUGGGGGGAAACUCCCACUGGGUUUAAAUCUGGGACUCUCGGCCAUUUGACCUUAGAACUGAAGAAGCUUCUCGGGUGAGAGGUGAAACGUCUUCAAGCAACUUAAAGAAGUCCAGACGCUUUUCUUUCCAAGCUGCUUUGACUGGUCCCAGCAUCGAUUGCAGGUUUCAUUUUUCGGACCUCAGAGCUACAUCCAGGUGUGUUUCCAGUGUAGGCUGAGGGUCGUCUGCAGAGACGCUGAAACUGCUGAUAAUGAGUGGCAUUAGUUUGAAUUCUCGUCCUGUUUUCCUUCCUGUCUGAUCAGCAGCACUGGAUCCACUCUUUUAUUUGAUGUGUCAGAGAUGGAGAUGAUUUUGCUUUAGUGUUGUUCUUAUUUCAUGUAUCUGAAAAUGUUGCUGUGAGGUGUGACGCCACAGGUCUGAUGUUUUUCAUGGCAUCAUUUUAAAUGUAAGAAUGGAAAUGAUAAAGAAUCACUUAUAUUUAGCUUGUUUGGGGUCUCCACGCUGCCAUCAGCUGUGAGAACAGAUGUUUUCCUUGUAUAUGUGAAUUUGAUUUGUUUGAAUGGAAUUAAACUGAGAGUGCACUCAUCUGUGUGUGAAGCCUCGUUUUAUGAUAUUUAUAAAUCUGAAAACCAGGGGUGUCAAACAUAAGGGCUGGGGGCCAGAAUCGGCCUGGCAAAGACGCCAGUCCGGAAACGUGAAGAAUGAUUAACUGAAUUUGAAUAAGUUUAACAGCUUUUCCUUUAAAUAAAGAGACCCGCACUCAUGCAUGGAUCCUUCCAGAACACAAAGGUCCUUCACAGUGUUUGUUUGAUUGAGCUGGUAAAACCUGUUCAUGCAGGACGCUGUCACCACGAUCACACACACCUGACCUACAGACCUGCCACACAUUGUUUCAGUUUUUAUUUUUAAGCUUCAGUUAAGUUUCAUUUUGCAGGAUUUGUUAUUAGCUUUCCAUCUGCAUCAUAAUCUGAACCACAGUGACGGUGUUAGCGUGAUAUUUAAAAACACUACAUUUGUGUCAGUACUGCAAACACCUGUGUAAGCAUCGUGUUUGUCAGUUGACUUCACAGACUCGUGUCCCGAGUUUAAUUUAACAAACAUACAAUAAACAAUAAACCUGUAAUAUUAAUAUACUCACCUUUGAACAUAGACAGGAAGUUAGACUCACGUCACAUUAUGAAUGAAGGCGCUUCAUUACCACACGCUGUUGAUAUGUUUGUUCAUUACCUGCAGAUUCAGUGUGAACGGUUUUAUGGGCAGAGUGCUGUAACUCCUGCCCACCACCAGAGGGCAGCGCAGCUCCAAGUAAAAGUACAACAAUCCCACCUGAACUUUCACCUCAGAUAAACUGAGCUUGACAAACGUGCCACAGCUGAGCUGAGGAAGCAUUACAGGAUACAUGAAACACACCUGACCACAGGUAGCAUCCAGCCACGCAGACGAAGCAGAGGGCGAGCAGCGCCGGGAGAAGGCAGAGCCCCAGACUCAAACACGGCUGCCUCAUCCGGUCUGUGGACGACCGCCCGGCACCUCCUGCAAACACACAAUCACACACACACCAUCAUUUAUUCCCUGAUCCUGCUUCUUUUCACAUCGUUGUGCCAACUGUAUAAACCCACACACCGUCUCACUGUGUGGGUUUGAAAGGUUUCACACUGAUUACAGGAAACUCAUAACUGGAGGAAAAAUGAGCUGUGGCGGUGCCAUGGGGGCGGAGACUCGUCUUUAAAGGUCAGCGGGAAAUCCUAAAAAGGCCUUGGUGGUAUUUCUCAGAACUUUAAAGUCCUCCUGGUGCUGUGAUAAAACAAACCACGAGUGACAGUCAGCUGAGCGCCCGGCUAUCAAGAGAAAAUACAUUAAAAUAUAUCAAACUAAAAACCAUUAAAUACAUAAAAACUAUCAGAUCAAUACAACAAAAAUAGAAUAUAAUAUGUAGUUUUAUUUCACAGUAUAUCCUGAUGUGACAUCUCAUUGCAGUUUCUUUCACACCUUUGUUCCAAUGACACAAACUCUUAUAAUAUUUAUGGAGAUAUUAAAGGUGUCAGCACGCACACGGAAACCUUCACGUGUUCAUGUUCAGCUGCUCGGCUGCAGACACGUGGACUCAUGGUGUGAAGAUUCAGGGGGGGUGACUCAAACCCUCGAUGCUGUCCUGCCUCUUCACCCCACUCGUUUUUCCACACGUGUGUGACGUGUAGCAUGUUUGUCACAAAAUGUCAGUUCAUGAGACGCAGAGAGCCCUGACCCCGGGGGCCCCGGGGGCCCUGAGGGGAACGCUGCCUCCGUUCUGCUGUGGGGGGCAGCUUGCUGUCCCAUCAGCUGAUAGACAACACAAAAAUCCUAAAACAGAAAUCCUACUGCUCCUCUGCAUCAAACAUCAAGUUUUCUUCUGAUCCACGCGCCAAAAAACUCCUUCAGUUUGUUCAGUUCAAGUAAAAUCGGUGCGUUCGUGGUCAGAAACAAGUCUGUGUUUUUGAACAUGUCAACAUUUCGACUUUUAGCCACAGGAACGGUCCCUAUGGGCAGAAAUCUGUGCCAUCAGAAACUGAAUUUGAAUAAGUUAAAUUUGAAUUUGAAUUACUCGGAUUGAAUCUGAAUUGUAACUUGAAUGAAAGCUUUUGAAAACUGAAUUUGAAUUAGUCUAAUUUGAAAUUGAAUUUAUGGUUUGAAAAUGAAUUGAUUUGCUUUGAAACUGCAUUUUAUCCUUUAAAAAUUCAGCUCUCGAAUAAUUUCAGAUUCACUUCUCACCAUUCAGUUUCAGUUCUACAAUUCAAUUUC